This 483-nucleotide ribosomal RNA is filed under the name uncultured bacterium. RNAcentral describes it as "partial 16S ribosomal RNA". It matches the Rfam family "Bacterial small subunit ribosomal RNA", at positions 28 to 507 of the family's 1533-position model. The record is from RNAcentral.
GACGAACGCUGGCGGCGUGCUUAACACAUGCAAGUCGAACGCUGAAGCUCAGCUUUUGUUGGGUGGAUGAGUGGCGAACGGGUGGGUAACACGUGAGUAACCUGCCCCCUUCUUUGGGAUAACGCCCGGAAACGGGUACUAAUACUGGAUAUUCACUGGUCUUCGCAUGGGGGUUGGUGGAAAGGGUUUUUCUGGUGGGGGAUGGGCUCGCGGCCUAUCAGCUUGUUGGUGGGGUGAUGGCCUACCAAGGCUUUGACGGGUAGCCGGCCUGAGAGGGUGACCGGUCACAUUGGGACUGAGAUACGGCCCAGACUCCUACGGGAGGCAGCAGUGGGGAAUAAUGCACAAUGGGCGAAAGCCUGAUGCAGCGACGCCGCGUGAGGGAUGGAGGCCUUCGGGUUGUGAACCUCUUUCGCUCAUGGUCAAGCCGCAACAAUGGUUGUGGUGAGGGUAGUGGGUAAAGAAGCGCCGGCUAACUACGUG